This 201-nucleotide ribosomal RNA is filed under the name uncultured prokaryote. RNAcentral's name for it is "partial 16S ribosomal RNA". It matches the Rfam family "Bacterial small subunit ribosomal RNA", at positions 524 to 724 of the family's 1533-position model. The record is from RNAcentral.
UACGUAGGGUGCAAGCGUUGUCCGGAAUUAUUGGGUGUAAAGAGCUCGUAGGCGGUCUGUCGCGUCGGCUGUGAAAACUCGGGGCUCAACCCUGAGCCUGCAGUCGAUACGGGCAGACUAGAGUCCGGUAGGGGAGACUGGAAUUCCUGGUGUAGCGGUGAAAUGCGCAGAUAUCAGGAGGAACAUCGGUGGCGAAGGCGG